CCUACGGGAGGCAGCAGUGGGGAAUAUUGCACAAUGGGGGAAACCCUGAUGCAGCAACGCCGCGUGAGUGAAGAAGUAUUUCGGUACGUAAAGCUCUAUCAGCAGGGAAGAAAAUGACGGUACCUGACUAAGAAGCCCCGGCUAACUACGUGCCAGCAGCCGCGGUAAUACGUAGGGGGCAAGCGUUAUCCGGAUUUACUGGGUGUAAAGGGAGCGUAGACGGCAGCGCAAGUCUGGAGGGAAAUCCCAUGGCUUAACCAUGGAACUGCUUUGGAAACUGUGCAGCUAGAGUGCAGGAGAGGUAAGCGGAAUUCCUGGUGUAGCGGUGAAAUGCGUAGAUAUUAGGAGGAACACCAGUGGCGAAGGCGGCUUACUGGACUGUAACUGACGUUGAGGCUCGAAAGCGUGGGGAGCAAACAGGAUUAGAUACCCCUGUAGUC
RNAcentral lists this ribosomal RNA (440 nucleotides) under uncultured bacterium. RNAcentral describes it as "partial 16S ribosomal RNA". It matches the Rfam family "Bacterial small subunit ribosomal RNA", at positions 338 to 795 of the family's 1533-position model. The record is from RNAcentral.